CUACCAUGGUUUUGACGGGUCAACGGGGAAUUAGGGUUCUAUUCCGGAGAGGGAGCCUGAGAAACGGUACCACAUCCAAGGAAGGCAGCAGGCGCGCAAAAUUACCCAAUCCCAAUACGGGGAGGUAGUGACAAUUAAAUCACUGAUACAGGGCUCUUUUGGGUC
This 165-nucleotide ribosomal RNA is filed under the name uncultured fungus. Its description in RNAcentral is "partial 18S small subunit ribosomal RNA". It matches the Rfam family "Eukaryotic small subunit ribosomal RNA", at positions 341 to 502 of the family's 1831-position model. The record is from RNAcentral. Lineage: Eukaryota; Fungi.